This 75-nucleotide transfer RNA is filed under the name Streptomyces albospinus. Its description in RNAcentral is "tRNA-Arg". It matches the Rfam family "tRNA". From Rfam's summary of the family: Transfer RNA (tRNA) molecules are approximately 80 nucleotides in length. Their secondary structure includes four short double-helical elements and three loops (D, anti-codon, and T loops). Further hydrogen bonds mediate the characteristic L-shaped molecular structure. tRNAs have two regions of fundamental functional importance: the anti-codon, which is responsible for specific mRNA codon recognition, and the 3' end, to which the tRNAs corresponding amino acid is attached (by aminoacyl-tRNA synthetases). tRNAs cope with the degeneracy of the genetic code in two manners: having more than one tRNA (with a specific anti-codon) for a particular amino acid; and 'wobble' base-pairing, i.e. permitting non-standard base-pairing at the 3rd anti-codon position. The record is from RNAcentral. Lineage: Bacteria; Bacillati; Actinomycetota; Actinomycetes; Kitasatosporales; Streptomycetaceae.
AGCACCUUUAGCUAAAUGGUUAAAGCGUCGGUCUUCGAAACCGUCCAUUGUGGGUUCAAGUCCUACAGGGUGCUU